Molecule: ribosomal RNA, 433 nt
Filed under: uncultured bacterium
Lineage: Bacteria
Description: partial 16S ribosomal RNA
Rfam family: Bacterial small subunit ribosomal RNA
Source: RNAcentral
AACGAACGCUGGCGGCAUGCCUAACACAUGCAAGUCGAACGAGACCUUCGGGUCUAGUGGCGCACGGGUGCGUAACGCGUGGGAACCUGCCUUUAGGUUCGGAAUAACUCAGAGAAAUUUGAGCUAAUACCGGAUGAUGUCUUCGGACCAAAGAUUUAUCGCCUUUAGAUGGGCCCGCGUUGGAUUAGCUAGUUGGUGGGGUAAAGGCCUACCAAGGCGACGAUCCAUAGCUGGUCUGAGAGGAUGAUCAGCCACACUGGGACUGAGACACGGCCCAGACUCCUACGGGAGGCAGCAGUGGGGAAUAUUGGACAAUGGGCGAAAGCCUGAUCCAGCAAUGCCGCGUGAGUGAUGAAGUCCUUAGGGUUGUAAAGCUCUUUUACCCGAGAUGAUAAUGACAGUAUCGGGAGAAUAAGCUCCGGCUAACUCCGUG